This is a long non-coding RNA of Sitophilus oryzae (rice weevil), 2031 nucleotides long. RefSeq lists it as uncharacterized. The record is from RefSeq and is a predicted model, not a curated record. The transcript has 3 exons. Lineage: Eukaryota; Metazoa; Arthropoda; Insecta; Coleoptera; Curculionidae.
GUUAAAUAAAGAACGUUUUCAGAUAUUUUGAUCUAAUAAAAUUAAAAUAAUCUUUUAGAUGAUCAACCUACUGGUAAUUUGGUGCACGGUGAUGUCGAUCCAGGUAUAAACCCUGUAUUUAAAGACAAACAUUUGUUGUAGAACUUGUUGGUGGACCACUCUCUCGUUGGUAUUAGACAUGUACUUUUACCUGAGAUAAAAGCAGUAGCUGAAAAGGAGAAAGGAUCUUCCAGAGUGCAGAUGAUGCAGUUUUUGUGAGUGAGGUAUAAGAUCUGUCUCUUGUAAGACCUCUUUUAAGAAUUUAACCCAGGCAGUUGUUUACAACCAAGUUAGAUCUCAAGCAUAGCAAAGGAAUCGUACAACCUGUGAAUUCAGUUUAAUUACUGAGAUCAAGGAUGAUGAAACAUUCAUUAUGAUUAUACAGAGCUACAAAGAGUUAUGUUGAGAAUCCAAAUUAUCAUAAUGAAUUGAGACGAGACAACACCUGGGUGGAAAUUGAGAAAAAAUGCAGACAAAAGGCAUUUUUAUAUUAUCGUUAUGAAUCCAUUGUUUUUAUCAAAUCGUCACAUAGAUAAUAUUUCUCUACGCAUAAUACUAAAAUUAAAAAGGUCAGGUUAAAACAAUUUUAAUUAUCCAUAGCGUGCGAAAAACAGUGCUUCGCAUGGCUUCGGCUUCGGCGCGCUUCGCUCAAGUGCUCAUCAUGCUUUAAACUUUUGCGAAGCGCCAAAAUGUCAUUGGAUUAAUUGCGUGUAUUUUGAUUCUUCGCGUUACUUCGCUUUAAUCCGUGGGUCUGCAUUUUUAUACAUAGAUACCAUUGAUCCAAUUCACAUUUUUUCGCCACGCAUCGAAUAAGUUCGCGACAAAACUUUGUUAGUUGCAUUUUAUAUUAUUUAAUGCUAUUGUAUUGAUUUACAAUUAUUAUUGUAUUUAUAUGAACAAGUUAAGUAUAGCAGUGCCGUGCGAGCCUUCGUCUGAAGAAGAAAUUUUAUUUAUUGUAUAAUUUGUAUUAUUUACUUUUUUUAAUAAAGUUAUUACUAAUAAUAAUUAUUCAACAUAUCCACACACAUACACACACACACACACACAGUUAAUUAUUCUUAUUUUAUUAACUAUAGCUGUUUUUUCUCUCUAUUUCAUAUUUUUUGAUGAGGAUAAGUUAAUUCUAAAUGAAACGUCACCUGUUUGAGAACAAUACGAUAUAAUGGAGCGAUGUCGCAUUUAGAGUAACUUAUUCUUAUUAAAAAAUAGGAAAUAGAAGAAAAAUCAUCUAUUUUCUGUACAAAAAUUACGUUCCAAAAAUUGAUAAUAGAUGGCGCUAGAGUGGACGCAACAAUAUAGUUACAUGUAGUUAAAAUGUAAAGUUUCCUGUAAAAUAAAAUAAAAUUGUAUCAUAAGUUGUGUAACGACCCGAUGCAUGGCGCCACUGAAUUCUCCAACAGACGGUAUCAUUUCAGUUUCCUAUAUAUUUUAGUUUGUAUAUGUCAUUAUUCAUUAUUCGAUUUUUGAGAUUGUAGUUUAAAAAAGUUUAUCUUAAAAUAAAAUUGUAAUCAAGCACAAUAAUUUAUCUCCAUCAUUUACCUGAUUAAUAAUACAGGAUCUACAGUUCAAUUACAAUCAGUAAAUUUUUAUAACCUAUAUACAGCAGUAAAAUUUCUACUACUAGAAAUAAUAUAAUACACAAACUUUGCGGUACUACUUGGGGCGCAAACGCAUCCACUCUUAAAACAUCAGCUCUCAGCCUAGUUUACUCAGUUGCUGAAUAUUGCGCCCCAGUUUGGCUAAACAGCUGCCAUCUAAAGAUAAUUGACACCAAACUUAAUGAGACUAUGAGAAUAGUCAGCGGCUGUUUAAAAAGCACACCUCUACCUUGGCUGCCCACUCUGAGUCAUAUUGCACCUCCCAGUAUUCGAAGACAGGAAAGACUCGUUAAGGAAUAUCAGAAAAUAUUAUCAAAUCCCCAUCUUCCAGUCCACAAUGACUUGCCAGAUGCCUGUCUGCGAAGACUGAAGUCUAGAUCCCCCAAGGCCUCGU